This 253-nucleotide ribosomal RNA is filed under the name uncultured bacterium. Its description in RNAcentral is "partial 16S ribosomal RNA". It matches the Rfam family "Bacterial small subunit ribosomal RNA", at positions 524 to 776 of the family's 1533-position model. The record is from RNAcentral.
UACGAAGGGUGCAAGCGUUACUCGGAAUUACUGGGCGUAAAGCGUGCGUAGGUGGUUUGUUAAGUCUGUUGUGAAAGCCCCGGGCUCAACCUGGGAAUGGCAAUGGAUACUGGCAGGCUAGAGUGCGGUAGAGGGUAGUGGAAUUCCCGGUGUAGCGGUGAAAUGCGUAGAGAUCGGGAGGAACACCAGUGGCGAAGGCGGCUACCUGGGCCUUACCUGACGCUGAGGAGCGAAAGCGUGGGGAGCGAACAGG